CACAUUCCUUAAACCGUGCUUCCUCCUACAUGAGGCAUCUGCCUCACAGUAAUGAUGCCUGCUCUACCAACUCUCAAGUGAGUGAGUCUUUGCGGCAACUGAAAACAAAAGAACAAGAAGAUGAUCUAACAAGUCAGACCUUAUUUGUUCUCAAAGACAUGAAGAUCCGGUUUCCAGGAAAGUCAGAUGCAGAAUCAGAACUUCUGAUAGAAGAUAUCAUUGAUAACUGGAAGUAUCAUAAAACCAAAGUGGCUUCAUAUUGGCUCAUAAAAUUGGACUCUGUAAAACAACGAAAAAUGAAGAUGUUUUCAGUUUGUAUGAUGAUGAGAAUGAUUUAGAAGAGAGGAAUGGCCCAGGAAAGAGAGGUGUUAAAAAGUUCUUGAGUAAGUAAGCUGUGAGAGGGGGAGGGUUUUCCUAAUCAAGAGCAUUUAUUCUAACGGGGGAAGGCAGGUGCAUGGGAAUGUGGUGGGAAGAUGGGAAAGUUUUCUUCUGGUGGGGAGGGCUUCUGGAGAUUUGGGGAGAGAGU
RNAcentral lists this small RNA (526 nucleotides) under Pan troglodytes (chimpanzee). Its description in RNAcentral is "processed transcript". The record is from RNAcentral. Lineage: Eukaryota; Metazoa; Chordata; Mammalia; Primates; Hominidae.